GAUCAUGGCUCAGGAUGAACGCUGGCGGCGUGCUUAACGCAUACAAGUCGAGCGAAGCACUUAGGAAAGAUUCUUCGGAUGAUUUCCUAAGUGACUGAGCGGCGGACGGGUGAGUAACGCGUGGGUAACCUGCCUCAUACAGGGGGAUAACAGUUAGAAAUGACUGCUAAUACCGCAUAAGGCCACAGCACCGCAUGGUGCAGGGGUAAAAACUCCGGUGGUAUGAGAUGGACCCGCGU
This 239-nucleotide ribosomal RNA is filed under the name uncultured bacterium. RNAcentral describes it as "partial 16S ribosomal RNA". It matches the Rfam family "Bacterial small subunit ribosomal RNA", at positions 15 to 236 of the family's 1533-position model. The record is from RNAcentral.